UUCCGGUUGAUCCCGCCGGACCUGACUGCUAUCGGAUUGAUACUAAGCCAUGCGAGUCAUUGUAGUAAUACAAGGCAGACGGCUCAGUAACGCGUAGUCAACCUAACCUAUGGACGGGAAUAACCUCGGGAAACUGAGUAUAAUGCCCGAUAGAACAUUAUGCCUGGAAUGGUUUAUGUUCCAAAUGAUUUAUCGCCGUAGGAUGGGACUGCGGCCUAUCAGUUUGUUGGUGAGGUAAUGGCCCACCAAGACUAUUACAGGUACGGGCUCUGAGAGGAGUAGCCCGGAGAUGGGUACUGAGACACGGACCCAGGCCCUAUGGGGCGCAGCAGGCGAGAAAACUUUGCAAUGUGCGAAAGCACGACAAGGUUAAUCCGAGUGGUUUCUGCUAAAGGAACCUUUUGUCGGUCCUAGAAACACCGAUGAAUAAGGGGUGGGCAAGUUCUGGUGUCAGCCGCCGCGGUAAAACCAGCACCUCAAGUGGUCAGGAUGAUUAUUGGGCCUAAAGCAUCCGUAGCCGGCUCUGUAAGUUUUCGGUUAAAUCUGUACGCUCGACGUACAGGCUGCCGGGAAUACUGCAGAGCUAGGGAGUGGGAGAGGUAGACGGUACUCGGUAGGAAGGGGUAAAAUCCUUUGAUCUAUUGAUGACCACCUGUGGCGAAGGCGGUCUACCAGAACACGUCCGACGGUGAGGGAUGAAAGCUGGGGGAGCAAACCGGAUUAGAUACCCGGGUAGUCCCAGCUGUAAACUAUGCAAACUCAGUGAUGCAUUGGCUUGUGGCCAAUGCAGUGCUGCAGAGAAAGCCGUUAAGUUUGCCGCCUGGGAAGUACGUACGCAAGUAUGAAACUUAAAGGAAUUGGCGGGGGAGCACACAAGGGUGAGCCUGCGGUUCAAUUGGAUUCAACGCAGA
Molecule: ribosomal RNA, 911 nt
Filed under: uncultured archaeon
Lineage: Archaea
Description: bacterial SSU rRNA
Rfam family: Archaeal small subunit ribosomal RNA
Source: RNAcentral